RNAcentral lists this ribosomal RNA (253 nucleotides) under uncultured bacterium. RNAcentral's name for it is "partial 16S ribosomal RNA". It matches the Rfam family "Bacterial small subunit ribosomal RNA", at positions 524 to 776 of the family's 1533-position model. The record is from RNAcentral.
UACGUAGGGACCGAGCGUUGUCCGGAUUCAUUGGGCGUAAAGAGCUCGUAGGCGGCUGCUCAAGUCGAAUGUGAAAACUCGAGGCUCAACCUCGAGCCUGCAUUCGAUACUGGGCGGCUAGAGUCUGGUAGGGGGAUCUGGAAUUCCUGGUGUAGCGGUGGAAUGCGCAGAUAUCAGGAGGAACACCGGUGGCGAAGGCGGGAUCCUGGGCUAGUACUGACGCUGAGAAGCGAAAGCCAGGGGAGCAAACGGG